UCCACAGGGUGGGAGCUGAAAACGUGAACGCCAAGGAGGAGGCAGGAUGAGGAUGUGGGGCGCGUUAGCCAGCAGCCCCUCAGGUUCCAGGCCAGAGGUUUGGAACAGCGAAGAGCUUUGGAAGGCCGGUAAUGGAAAACCAACAGUCAGGCUGUUUUUUCCCUCCCUGGUCUUCCUGGUUCCUCCUUAGCACAGUGCUCCUCCUACUGGUAUGGUGGUUGAAUGAGAAUGGCAUCCACAGUCAAUGGAACUGUUUGGGAAGGAUUAGGAGGUGUGGCCUUAUCGGAGGAGGUGUGCCACUGAGGGUGGGCUUCAAGGCUUAAAAGCCUCCCACCAUCCCCAGUGAAUUCUGUUUCCUGCUUAUGGAUCAAGUUGUGAGCUCUCAGCUGUUCCUGUCAUGAUGCCUUUACGCCGCCAUCAUGGACUCUAACCCUCUGGCACUGUGAGCCCCAAAUAAACUAUUUCUUCUGUAA
Peromyscus eremicus (cactus mouse) is the source of this 473-nucleotide long non-coding RNA. RefSeq lists it as uncharacterized. The transcript has 2 exons. Lineage: Eukaryota; Metazoa; Chordata; Mammalia; Rodentia; Cricetidae. The record is from RefSeq and is a predicted model, not a curated record.